CCAGGCAGAUGUGCGGCUCAGUGCCGGAGCCUGCGAUGCCCGCUCCGCGCGGUUAGAUUCCCGCUUCGUUCCGCUGUGUUCGACGAUAAUACUGGGUCGAUACACCGAACACAGAGCCGUUCGCCGGCCCGCUGCAGCCACAGGAGCCGCCUCACCCCGUCAACCGACAAGGUGUGUUGCUGCAGCAACGGCUGACAGAUGAUGCUCUUGUGAGAGUGGGUGGGGCUACGUGGCCCUGAGGCCUUAAGGAGGAGUCUCAGCCCUAAGCUCCUCCCCUCUCUCGUCCCGAGACAGACCAAACGGACGGACACACAGACGGCCGUAACUCUCCCCUCCCUCCUCCUCCUUCCCCCCUCUCUCCCCUGUUCUCCCCUCCACCUGGCCCCUCCUCCUCCUCCCGGCCACCCUCCCCUGUCUCCCCCCUCGUCCCCUGCCACCAUGCUGUGGUCACGCUGCUGGUGGAGAGCCUGAGGAAGCAGACUCUGGAAGGCGACCCUGCUCAGCCAGGGGACUUGUACCUGUCCCUGCUGGACCCGAAAACCCUCGCAGAGUGCUGGCCCCCAGAUGGCUUGAUGC
Astatotilapia calliptera (eastern happy) is the source of this 576-nucleotide long non-coding RNA. The record is from Ensembl. Lineage: Eukaryota; Metazoa; Chordata; Actinopteri; Cichliformes; Cichlidae.